GACGAACGCUGGCGGCGUGCUUAACACAUGCAAGUCGAACGGAAAGGCCCUGCUUUUGUGGGGUGCUCGAGUGGCGAACGGGUGAGUAACACGUGAGUAACCUGCCCUUGACUUUGGGAUAACUUCAGGAAACUGGGGCUAAUACCGGAUAGGAGCUCCUGCUGCAUGGUGGGGGUUGGAAAGUUUCGGCGGUUGGGGAUGGACUCGCGGCUUAUCAGCUUGUUGGUGGGGUAGUGGCUUACCAAGGCUUUGACGGGUAGCCGGCCUGAGAGGGUGACCGGCCACAUUGGGACUGGGAUACGGCCCAGACUCCUACGGGAGGCAGCAGUGGGGAAUAUUGCACAAUGGGCGGAAGCCUGAUGCAGCAACGCCGCGUGCGAGAUGACGGCCUUCGGGUUGUAAACCGCUUUCGCCUGUGACGAAGCGUGAGUGACGGUAAUGGGUAAAGAAGCACCGGCUAACUACGU
RNAcentral lists this ribosomal RNA (467 nucleotides) under uncultured bacterium. RNAcentral describes it as "partial 16S ribosomal RNA". It matches the Rfam family "Bacterial small subunit ribosomal RNA", at positions 28 to 506 of the family's 1533-position model. The record is from RNAcentral.